Molecule: ribosomal RNA, 241 nt
Filed under: uncultured bacterium
Lineage: Bacteria
Description: partial 16S ribosomal RNA
Rfam family: Bacterial small subunit ribosomal RNA
Source: RNAcentral
UACGGAGGGUGCGAGCGUUGUCCGGAAUCAUUGGGCGUAAAGGGCGCGUAGGUGGCCCGGUCAGUUCGUGGUGAAAGCGCGGGGCUCAACCCUGCGUCGGCCAUGAAUACUGCCGCGGCUGGAGCACUGUAGAGGCAGGCGGAAUUCCGGGUGAGCGGUGGAAUGCGUAGAGAUCCGGAAGAACACCGGUGGCGAAGGCGGCCGCUGGGCAGUGCUGCACUGAGGCGCGACAGCGUGGGGA